Molecule: ribosomal RNA, 253 nt
Filed under: uncultured bacterium
Lineage: Bacteria
Description: partial 16S ribosomal RNA
Rfam family: Bacterial small subunit ribosomal RNA
Source: RNAcentral
UACGAAGGGGGCUAGCGUUGUUCGGAAUUACUGGGCGUAAAGCGCACGUAGGCGGAUAUUUAAGUCAGGGGUGAAAUCCCGGGGCUCAACCCCGGAACUGCCUUUGAUACUGGGUAUCUCGAGUCCGAGAGAGGUGAGUGGGAUUCCGAGUGUAGAGGUGAAAUUCGUAGAUAUUCGGAGGAACACCAGUGGCGAAGGCGGCUCACUGGCUCGGUACUGACGCUGAGGUGCGAAAGCGUGGGGAGCAAACAGG